Molecule: unclassified non-coding RNA, 273 nt
Filed under: air metagenome
Description: partial contains small subunit ribosomal RNA, internal transcribed spacer 1, and 5.8S ribosomal RNA
Rfam family: Eukaryotic small subunit ribosomal RNA (bases 1-48)
Source: RNAcentral
AAAAGUCGUAACAAGGUUUCCGUAGGUGAACCUGCGGAAGGAUCAUUAUCGAGUUUUGAACGGGUUGUAGCUGGCCUCAUACUGUGGCAUGUGCACGCCUGUCUUCAUCCACUCUUCAACCUCUGUGCACUUAUUGUAGGCUGGUGAAGGGUCGCAUAGUAAUGUGCGGCUUGAAGCCUGGUCUACGUUUUACUACAAACGCUUCAGUUAUAGAAUGUCUAUCUGCGUAUAACGCAUUUAAUAUACAACUUUCAGCAACGGAUCUCUUGGCUC